This 465-nucleotide ribosomal RNA is filed under the name uncultured bacterium. Its description in RNAcentral is "partial 16S ribosomal RNA". It matches the Rfam family "Bacterial small subunit ribosomal RNA", at positions 28 to 507 of the family's 1533-position model. The record is from RNAcentral.
GACGAACGCUGGCGGCGUGCUUAACACAUGCAAGUCGAACGGAAAGGCCCCUUUCGGGGUACUCGAGUGGCGAACGGGUGCGUAACACGUGCGUAACCUGCCCUUGACUUCGGGAUAACUUCAGGAAACUGGGGCUAAUACCGGAUAGGAAUCCUUGCUGCAUGGUGGGGGUUGGAAAGCUUCGGCGGUUUUGGAUGGACUCGCGGCUUAUCAGCUUGUUGGUGGGGUAGUGGCUUACCAAGGCGUUGACGGGUAGCCGGCCUGAGAGGGCGACCGGCCACAUUGGGACUGAGAUGAGGCCCAGGCUCCUAAGGGAGGCAGAUGGGGGGAAGAUUGAACAAUGGGCGGAAGCCUGAUGCAGCAACGCCGCGUGCGGGAUGACGGCCUUCGGGUUGAAAACCGAUUUCAGCAGGGGCGAAGCUUGUGGUGACGGUACCUGCAGAAGAAGCACCGGCUAACUACGUG